This 219-nucleotide long non-coding RNA is filed under the name Elaeis guineensis (African oil palm). Its description in RNAcentral is "long non-coding RNA (EGUI_LNC070682)". The record is from RNAcentral. Lineage: Eukaryota; Viridiplantae; Streptophyta; Magnoliopsida; Arecales; Arecaceae.
GGGGAGGGAGAAUGACCUUUUGUAGAGUCGGCCGUCCAUUAUCACGUAUUGGGAGGCCGCCCAUUGGAGUCGUUUGGCUUUCGUGGGGUCUUCAGGAUUGGUUCCAUCGAUCAAAUAUCGUAUGAUCGGAUCCAUCCAGCUUGGUUCGGUCAUCAGUUGCAGCACCUCCUCGGCUCUGUCGAUGCUCGGCUGCUCGAGGCUCUCCACGAAUGUCCGACC